GGCCGCCUGGCGUAAUGGCAACGCGUCUGACUACGACAUGCCUAUUGGUAGUGGUUAAUCAGGAGAUUGCAGGUUCGACCCCUGCGGUGGUCA
Cerioporus squamosus is the source of this 93-nucleotide non-coding RNA. The record is from the annotation of a GenBank genome assembly. NCBI's taxonomy places the organism in Eukaryota, Fungi, Basidiomycota, Agaricomycetes, Polyporales, Polyporaceae.